AGUGAACGCUGGCGGUAGGCCUAACACAUGCAAGUCGAACGGCAGCACAGUGAGAGCUUGCUCUUACGGGUGGCGAGUGGCGGACGGGUGAGGAAUACAUCGGAAUCUACUUUUUCGUGGGGGAUAACGUAGGGAAACUUACGCUAAUACCGCAUACGACCUACGGGUGAAAGCAGGGGAUCUUCGGACCUUGCGCGAUUGAAUGAGCCGAUGUCGGAUUAGCUAGUUGGCGGGGUAAAGGCCCACCAAGGCGACGAUCCGUAGCUGGUCUGAGAGGAUGAUCAGCCACACUGGAACUGAGACACGGUCCAGACUCCUACGGGAGGCAGCAGUGGGGAAUAUUGGACAAUGGGCGCAAGCCUGAUCCAGCCAUACCGCGUGGGUGAAGAAGGCCUUCGGGUUGUAAAGCCCUUUUGUUGGGAAAGAAAAGCAGCAGGUUAAUACCCCGCUGUUCUGACGGUACCCAAAGAAUAAGCACCGGCUAACUUCGUGC
RNAcentral lists this ribosomal RNA (493 nucleotides) under uncultured bacterium. RNAcentral's name for it is "partial 16S ribosomal RNA". It matches the Rfam family "Bacterial small subunit ribosomal RNA", at positions 29 to 508 of the family's 1533-position model. The record is from RNAcentral.